AACGCACGCUAGUGGGCAGCAGCACAUGAGAAAUCAAAGUCUUUGGGUUCCGGGGGGAGUAUGGUCGCAAGGCUGAAACUUAAAGGAAUUGACGGAAGGGCACCACCAGGAGUGGAGCCUGCGGCUUAAUUUGACUCAACACGGGAAAACUUACCAGGUCCAGACAUAGGAAGGAUUGA
This 179-nucleotide ribosomal RNA is filed under the name Thraustochytriidae sp. RNAcentral's name for it is "Thraustochytriaceae sp. partial small subunit ribosomal RNA". It matches the Rfam family "Eukaryotic small subunit ribosomal RNA", at positions 1065 to 1243 of the family's 1831-position model. The record is from RNAcentral. Lineage: Eukaryota; Bigyra; Thraustochytrida; Thraustochytriidae.